AUUGAACGCUGGCGGCAUGCUUUACACAUGCAGGUCGAACGGCAGCGCGGGCUUCGGCCUGGCGGCGAGUGGCGAACGGGUGAGUAAUACAUCGGAACGUGCCCAGUAGUGGGGGAUAGCUCGGCGAAAGCCGGAUUAAUACCGCAUACGACCUGAGGGUGAAAGCGGGGGAUCUUCGGACCUCGCGCUAUUGGAGCGGCCGAUGGCAGAUUAGCUAGUUGGUGGGGUAAAGGCCUACCAAGGCGACGAUCUGUAGCUGGUCUGAGAGGACGACCAGCCACACUGGGACUGAGACACGGCCCAGACUCCUACGGGAGGCAGCAGUGGGGAAUUUUGGACAAUGGGCGAAAGCCUGAUCCAGCAAUGCCGCGUGUGUGAUGAAGGCCUUCGGGUUGUAAAGCACUUUUGGCGGGAACGAAAAGGACUGUGCCAAUACCACGGUUCGAUGACGGUACCCGCAGAAUAAGCACCGGCUAACUACGUG
This 484-nucleotide ribosomal RNA is filed under the name uncultured bacterium. RNAcentral's name for it is "partial 16S ribosomal RNA". It matches the Rfam family "Bacterial small subunit ribosomal RNA", at positions 29 to 507 of the family's 1533-position model. The record is from RNAcentral.